AGCGCGGGUGCGAGUCGGAGGGUGCAAGCCCGUGGGCGAAGUGAAAGCGAGUUUAAAAACGAGCAGUUUGGGGCGGCAUAAGAUCGUUGAUCUUAAGACCGACCCAGAGCAGUUGCGCUGGGACCCGAAAGAUGGUGAACUAUGCCGGAGUAGGGCAAAGCCAGAGGAAACUCUGGUGGAGGCUCGUAGCGGUGCUGACGUGCAAAUCGCUCGUCGAACUUGGGUAUAGGGGCGAAAGACUAAUCGAACCAUCUAGUAGCUGGUUCCCUCCGAAGUUUCUCUCAGGAUAGCGGGCCGACAAGUUGUUUUGUGCGGUAAAGCGAAUGAUUAGCGCAAUUGGGGGCGUCAAGCCUUCGGGCGAUUCUCAAACUUUCAAUGCGCAAGGGUGCCGCUGCUUAAUUGAGCGGUACCGGUAAAAACGUCGGCCCUGUGGGCCACUUUUGGUAAGCAGAACUGGCGAUACGGGAUGAACCGUAAGCAAGGUUAAGGCGCCAAACUGCCCGCUUAUAGACCCCACAAAAGGUGUUGAUUCAUCGAGACAGCAGGACGGUGGCCAUGGAAGUCGGAAUCCGCCAAGGAGUGUGUAACAACUCACCUGCCGAAUGAAUUAGCCCUGAAAAUGGAUGGCGCUGAAGCGGGCGGCCGACACCUUGCCGUCUGGACAAGAAUUUCAGAUGAGUAGGAGGGCGUGGCGGUCGUGUCGAAGCACGCGUGCAGACGCUUGUGGAACGACCGCUAGUGCAGAUCUUGGUGGUAGUAGCAAGUAUUCAAGCGAGAUCCUUGAAGGGCGAAGUGGGGAAGGGUUUCACGCGAACAUUGAUUGGGCGUGAGUGAGUCGUUCCUAAGCCGAGUGGCAAUUGCUAAUUAACGGCGAAAGGGAAGCGGGUUGACAUUCCCGCACACGGAUGUGGAGGCGGCGACGCAUUAUUGGGGCGAACACGCUGGCGAUGGCGCUGGGCAGAGUUGUCUUUUCUGUUUGACCACUUGCGCACGCAGUGUGGAAUCCUCUUAUAGGGAGAAACACGCGUGUACGGGCAGAGCGCUGGGGCUUUUCCAGCGUCCAGCUCGCCAUCGACGGCCCUUGAAACUUUGCCUGCUG
This 1099-nucleotide ribosomal RNA is filed under the name Ahnfeltiopsis devoniensis. Its description in RNAcentral is "eukaryotic LSU rRNA". It matches the Rfam family "Eukaryotic large subunit ribosomal RNA", at positions 677 to 1828 of the family's 3401-position model. The record is from RNAcentral. Lineage: Eukaryota; Rhodophyta; Florideophyceae; Gigartinales; Phyllophoraceae.